This 924-nucleotide long non-coding RNA is filed under the name Salmo salar (Atlantic salmon). RNAcentral's name for it is "lncRNA (ENSSSAG00000085023.1)". The record is from RNAcentral. Lineage: Eukaryota; Metazoa; Chordata; Actinopteri; Salmoniformes; Salmonidae.
UUGAGCAUAUCAUGGAAGAGUAGCAGGAACACCAGGCUAAAUCAAAAGCAUAACCAUAGAACCAAAGUGUGUCAGCAAUAUUGGCAAGUCAGAAGUCAAUUUUAGUCCAUUGUAGCGUCCACCCCUGUAAACAAUUUGCAUGACGCUGGACAAGUGAAGGAGAUCCUCAUUUCAAACAAGAGCAUUAGUUGGCACAUUUCUCCACCUCAGUUACCUUUUCUUCUAAAGGGAGGCACAGUAACAGGGGAACGACGAUUAAGGAGUUGGGCAAACCAAAUUAUGAUCUCCCUAGUUGAGUGGUCGGGUGGUCUGUUCAAGGCUUGACGCUUCUGGUGAGGCGCCGGGGCCGGACGCUUCUGCUGAGGCGCUAUUGCUGAGGCGCCGGGGCCGGAUGCUAUUGCUGAGGCGCCGGGGCCGGACGCUUCUGCUGAGGCGCCGGGGCCGGACGCUUCUGCUGAGGCGCCGGACGCUUCUCCUGAGGCUUCUGCUGAGGCGCCGGACGCUUCUGCUGAGGCGCCGGACGCUUCUGCUGAGGCUCCGGACGCUUCUGCUGAGGCGCCGGACGCUUCUGCUGAGGCGCCGGGGCCGGACUUCACACUUGACGGGGCAUUGUGGCCAGUAGAUUCUGCUGACGUGGCAUUGUGGCCAGUAGCUUCUGCUGACGUGGCAUUGUGGCCAGUAGCUUCUGCUGACGUGGCAUUGUGGCCAGUAGCUUCUGCUGACGUGGCAUUGUGGCCAGUAGCUUCUGCUGACGUGGCAUUGUGGCCAGUAGCUUCUGCUGACGUGGCAUUGUGGCCAGUAGCUUCUGCUGACGUGGCAUUGUGGCCAGUAGCUUUAGCAUUUGGACUAGGCACCACACUUGCUUUGGCAUAGGAUCCAGUUGGUUCAGGUCCAGUGUAGGCAUGAUGCCCAUUAGAAUUACCU